UUCCGGUUGAUCCCGCCGGACCUGACUGCUAUCGGAUUGAUACUAAGCCAUGCGAGUCUUUGUAGUAAUACAAGGCAGACGGCUCAGUAACACGUAGUCAACCUACCCUAUGGACAAGAAUAAUCUCGGGAAACUGGGCAUAAUUCUUGAUAGAUCAUAAUGCCUGGAAUGGUUUAUGGUUAAAAUGAUUCGUCGCCAUAGGAUGGGACUGCGGCCUAUCAGCUUGUUGGUGAGGUAAUGGCCCACCAAGGCGAUUACAGGUACGGGCUCUGAGAGGAGAAGCCCGGAGAUGGGUACUGAGACACGGACCCAGGCCCUAUGGGGCGCAGCAGGCGAGAAAACUUUGCAGUGUGCGAAAGCACGACAAGGUUAAUCCGAGUGAUUUCUGCUAAAGAAAUCUUUUGCCAGUCAUAAAACCACUGGUGAAUAAGGGGUGGGCAAGUUCUGGUGUCAGCCGCCGCGGUAAAACCAGCACCUCAAGUGGUCAGGAUGAUUAUUGGGCCUAAAGCAUCCGUAGCCGGCUUUGUUAGUUUUCGGUUAAAUCCAUGUGCUCAACGCAUGGGCUGCCGAAAAUACUGCAUAGCUAGGGAGUGGGAGAGGUAGACGGUACUCAGUAGGAAGGGGUAAAAUCCUUUGAUCUAUUGAUGACCACCUGUGGCGAAGGCGGUCUACCAGAACACGUUCGACGGUGAGGGAUGAAAGCUGGGGGAGCAAACCGGAUUAGAUACCCGGGUAGUCCCAGCUGUAAACGAUGCAGACUCGAUGAUGCAUUGGCAUAAUAGCCAGUGCAGUGUCGCAGGGAAGCCGUUAAGUCUGCCGCCUGGGAAGUACGUACGCAAGUAUGAAACUUAAAGGAAUUGGCGGGGGAGCACCACAAGGGGUGAAGCCUGCGGUUCAAUUGGAAUCAACGCCGGA
This 915-nucleotide ribosomal RNA is filed under the name uncultured archaeon. RNAcentral's name for it is "bacterial SSU rRNA". It matches the Rfam family "Archaeal small subunit ribosomal RNA", at positions 1 to 922 of the family's 1478-position model. The record is from RNAcentral.